Molecule: long non-coding RNA, 464 nt
Filed under: Mytilus galloprovincialis (Mediterranean mussel)
Lineage: Eukaryota; Metazoa; Mollusca; Bivalvia; Mytilida; Mytilidae
Source: RNAcentral
UAUGACUUCACUAAAACAAGGUAAGGAAAUCUUAUACUGUCUUUGCACAACCUUAACUGCUUUAGAGACUGACAUAAAACACAUUCGUUGUUUAUAAUAAUAUAUCUUUUUUUGUGAUAAAUGAAUCCUGCAAAAGUAAAUGAGAAAGUGUUGUCCUAAAUUUGAACUUAGACAGCCAACAACCAUUUGAUUUUCUGGUGGGGGUGGUGGCUAUUGAUUGUUUUGAGAACAAAAAGCUUGUUUACAAUUUUUGGAUAAAAAAAUAAUUUGUUUUUGACCCUGACAAAAAAAAAUGUUUGUUUUACCCUCAGCUGCCAUUAAAUGAAAUGCUAAAAUUGAAAGAGAAGAAUUUUUCAACUUGUCUGGAAAAAAAAAUCCAUAGUUCCCCCCUCCCUGAAAACAAAUGGUUGCUGCCUUCAAACAAUCUCUUUCAGAUUAUCAUUUUAAUCAAUCUUAUUUAAAGC